This 462-nucleotide ribosomal RNA is filed under the name uncultured bacterium. RNAcentral describes it as "bacterial SSU rRNA". It matches the Rfam family "Bacterial small subunit ribosomal RNA", at positions 29 to 507 of the family's 1533-position model. The record is from RNAcentral.
AACGAACGCUGGCGGCAGGCCUAACACAUGCAAGUCGAACGAGAAAUCACCCUUCGGGGUGAGAGUAGAGUGGCGCACGGGUGAGUAACGCGUGGGAACCUACCUAGGGGUACGGAAUAACUCAGGGAAACUUGGGCUAAUACCGUAUACGUCCUCCGGGAGAAAGAUUUAUCGCCCUUGGAUGGGCCCGCGUUAGAUUAGCUAGUUGGUGGGGUAAAGGCCCUACCAAGGCUACGAUCUAUAGCUGGUUUGAGAGGAUGAUCAGCCACACUGGAACUGAGACACGGUCCAGACCUCCGUACGGGAGGCAGCAGGUGGGGAAUUAGUUAGGCAAGUACGGGGGAAACCCUGACCUACGCCAUGCCGCGUGCGUGAAAGAAGGUCGUUAGGAUUAGUAAAGCGUCUUUCAGGACGGGGAAGAUGAUGACGGUACCCGCAGAAGAAGCCCCGGCUAACUCCGUG